RNAcentral lists this ribosomal RNA (424 nucleotides) under uncultured bacterium. Its description in RNAcentral is "partial 16S ribosomal RNA". It matches the Rfam family "Bacterial small subunit ribosomal RNA", at positions 359 to 775 of the family's 1533-position model. The record is from RNAcentral.
GAAUUUUGGACAAUGGGGGAAACCCUGAUCCAGCCAUCCCGCGUGUAUGAUGAAGGCCUUCGGGUUGUCAAGUACUUUUGGCAGAGAAGAAAAGGUAUCUCCUAAUACGAGAUACUGCUGACGGCAUCUUCAGAAUAAGCACCGGCUAACUACGGGCCAGCAGCCGCGGUAAUACGUAGGGUGCAAGCGUGAAUCGGAAUUACUUGGCGUAAAGCGUGUGUAGGCGGCUCGGAAAGAAGGAUGUGGAAUCCCAAGGCUCAACCUUGGAACUGCAUUUUUAACUGCCGAGCUAGAGUAUGCCAGAGGGGGGUAGAAUUCCACGUGUAGCAGUGAAAUGCGUAGAUAUGUAGAGGAAUACCGAUGGCGAAGGCAGCCCCCUGGGAUAAUACUGACGCUCAGACACGAAAGCGUGGGGAGCAAACAG